RAAUUGAUUGUAAACUGCUUUUGUUASGGGAGAAACCUGUAUGGUUAACAGCCAUACAGCUGACGGUACCUGACGAAUAAGCCACGGCAAACUCUGUGCCAGCAGCCGCGGUAAUACAGAGGUGGCAAGCGUUACUCGGAAUUAUUGGGUGUAAAGGGCAGGUAGGUGGCCUAGUAAGUGAGGGGUGAAAUACUGCGGUUCAAUCGCAGAACAGCCUUUCAAACUGCAUGGCUUGAGAGAACUAGAGGAAGAUGGAAUUCCCGGUGU
RNAcentral lists this ribosomal RNA (267 nucleotides) under uncultured organism. RNAcentral describes it as "partial 16S ribosomal RNA". It matches the Rfam family "Bacterial small subunit ribosomal RNA", at positions 412 to 676 of the family's 1533-position model. The record is from RNAcentral.